Molecule: long non-coding RNA, 816 nt
Organism: Prionailurus viverrinus (fishing cat)
Lineage: Eukaryota; Metazoa; Chordata; Mammalia; Carnivora; Felidae
Exons: 3
Source: RefSeq, a predicted model, not a curated record
AUUAAUUUAUAACCCAAAGUAUAGAAUUUCUAAACAGCAAUCAAACAUUAAUUAUUAUAACUUAUGGGAUCUGAUUAGAGCAGUUAUUGGAAGAAAUUUUAUAACCUUAAGCACUUACAUCAAUAACAGUAAAAAACGGAAAGAAUGACAAUAAAUGAAUUGGAUUUGCUACUCAAAAGCUAGAAAAUGAACAAACAAGUUAACCAAAGGAAACCACAAGGAGGGUAAUGGUGAAGACAAAAGCAAUAAUUAAUGAUACAGAAAACUGAAAACAAGAGAUGUAAUGAUUGGGUCUUUGAAAAAAAGUAACCAAGUGUGCAAAACCUCCAGUUAACCUAAUCAAGAGGACAAGGGAGAAAGUCCACGUUGAGUCUGAGCCCGUGACUAGGGAGAGUGGAUAACAUACUUACGCACACAGAAAGGGGUCUUGCCCGACCAGUGAUGAUCCUGCUGGCAGAUGCGCACCGACAUGCCGAUCAGGCGGAAGCCGGCAUUGCACUGGUAGCAUUGACUGAACAUCUACUGAAUGGAGGGCACCUGGUCUACAUUAAAGCAGUCAAAGCCCAGCUGAGUUGAGUUGGAAAUGACUAUGCACAAACAGGUGAUCUGGCUAAACCCACCUUUCCUUCUCCUUGAGUGGCAAGAGACACAGACAACUUAACCUAGGCCCUAAUAAAAUUACAGUAAAGACUGGUAAAGCAGAAGAGCCUAUAACAAAAAGCAAAAUGGGAGGAUCAGCAGCAGAGGAGACUUAAAAAAAAACUUCGGAAGAUGGAUUGUAGAUAGAAGUGUGCUGAGAAUUAAGUGGAGCUGAGA